RNAcentral lists this transfer RNA (87 nucleotides) under Gammaproteobacteria bacterium. Its description in RNAcentral is "tRNA-Leu". It matches the Rfam family "tRNA". Rfam says of the family: Transfer RNA (tRNA) molecules are approximately 80 nucleotides in length. Their secondary structure includes four short double-helical elements and three loops (D, anti-codon, and T loops). Lineage: Bacteria; Pseudomonadati; Pseudomonadota; Gammaproteobacteria. The record is from RNAcentral.
GCCGAGGUGGCGGAAUUGGUAGACGCGCUAGUUUCAGGUACUAGUGGUGGAAACACCGUGGGGGUUCAAGUCCUCUCCUCGGCACCA